Molecule: ribosomal RNA, 433 nt
Filed under: uncultured bacterium
Lineage: Bacteria
Description: partial 16S ribosomal RNA
Rfam family: Bacterial small subunit ribosomal RNA
Source: RNAcentral
AACGAACGCUGGCGGCAUGCCUAACACAUGCAAGUCGAACGAGACAUUCGGGUCUAGUGGCGCACGGGUGCGUAACGCGUGGGAACCUGCCCUUAGGUUCGGAAUAACUCCCCGAAAGGGGUGCUAAUACCGGAUAAUGUCUUCCGACCAAAGAUUUAUCGCCUUUGGAUGGGCCCGCGUUGGAUUAGCUAGUUGGUAGGGUAAAAGCCUACCAAGGCGACGAUCCAUAGCUGGUCUGAAAGGAUGAUCAGCCACACUGGGACUGAGACACGGCCCAGACUCCUACGGGACGCAGCAGAGAGGAAUAUUGGACCAUGGGCGAAAGCCUGAUGCAGCAAUGCCGCGUGAGUGAUGAAGGCCUUAGGGAUGUAAAGCUCUUUUACCCGAGAUGAUAAUGACAGUACCGGGAGAAUAAGCACCGGCUAACUACGUG